This 250-nucleotide ribosomal RNA is filed under the name uncultured bacterium. Its description in RNAcentral is "partial 16S ribosomal RNA". It matches the Rfam family "Bacterial small subunit ribosomal RNA", at positions 524 to 774 of the family's 1533-position model. The record is from RNAcentral.
UACGUAGGUCCCGAGCGUUGUCCGGAUUUAUUGGGCGUAAAGCGAGCGCAGGUGGUUUGGUAAGUCUGGUGUAAAAGGCAAUGGCUCAACCAUUGUAAGCAUUGGAAACUGUUAAACUUGAGUGCAGUAGAGGAGAGUGGAAUUCCAUGUGUAGCGGUGAAAUGCGUAGAUAUAUGGAGGAACACCGGAGGCGAAAGCGGCUCUCUGGACUGUAACUGACACUGAGGCUCGAAAGCGUGGGGAGCAAACA